UUUUAUUGAUGUCAGAAUAUAUGGCUCUGGAUAUAAGUUAAUUUAUACUGGGUUUGUUUUUUGAUUCAUGGUGUUUUAGUUCAGUGGAUUUUGAUGAUUGAAAUUUUGAUAAUUUUGUACUUGAAAUGGGGGUUUGUGUGGAUUUAUGUUCUGUGUUUGUGUUGGAUUUUGAAUUGGUGUUGUUUUAUGAUGUUACAAUUGUGCUUUGGGUAUCUAAUUUGAUUAAUUUUAUGAACGACAUUUAGAAAUGAAGGAAUGAGAAGUCAGAACGAUAAUGCCCGGCAUUUAGAAAUGUGCAGUCUCAUCCUUUCAUUUGCAUAAUGCUGGUGUUACUAUGUGGUACUAUUGGCGUUCAUCGUGGGUUUAUGUUGAAUUUUGUGUUUACGCCUUUUCGAUGUCAUAACCGGGUUUUUAAUUUAUACCUAUCUGCACUGGUUCUUAAACUGACAUUUGCAAACUAAGCGGUGGUAAAGAUGAAAAGUUGGGUUUAUUGUUUGCUGUUGUAAUUGUGCUUUCUUUUUACCUGUUUGCACUGGGUUGAGAAUGCAAAACGCUAGGGGUAACGAGGAAAAGUUUCCCUGCUUGUACAACUACAAUCUCAUCCUUCCCUUUUGCCUGAUGCUGGUGUUAUCAGAAAGAUCGUCAAACCUGGCUUGCCACUCUUCGACUCUGAUCGAAAAAUGCGUGGAGUAUAGGAAGCUGCAAGCAAUGGGGAAAUGAAUAUCAACCCAUAUGCAAUAACAGACUCAAUACCCUGCACAGGUCCGCAAUUGUAUCCGAAAGCAAUGCAAGUCAUUGUUGGAAGACCAGUGCAAACAAUACUCACAGACAACUAUUGCACCGAAGAUUAUUUUUUGAUUUUAGCUCGACCAUUCGCAGAUCGGUCAUUUGAUCUCGCUGUUUGAAUCCUCGCCCAUAGGCCAUAGUCAUCCCCACGUAUCCUCGAACUGCACCUAAGCAGAAAUGGGCUUCUAUCCGAUGUGAGGAUUCAUGGGAGAUAGUUUCAGACAGUAAUGUGACUCAUUUGAAUUAGCAUAAGAUAGCAAUUGAGUCUCCAUCUAAGUUUCCACAGUAAUCGUCAAAGUGUAAUGUUCUUCGACAUAUGAAUUCCGACCCUGGUGAAAAUAAAGAGGAAGGUCCGAGCUUUUCUGAUUCAGAGGAUGAUACUCCUGGGGAUGUGCGAACCAGCUUUGAGGAUGAAAACAACCAGAGAUUGGUACCUGAUAGGAGGAACUUGUCUACCGUAAACUAUUGCAGUUCGUAAUGAAAGAGAGAAGGAAAAUUGUGAUUCAGUAGGUGAUGAAGAAAAUGUUGGUGUGUCCUGUGAUUUUAAUGCUAGCUCUAUGGACAUCUAUUGUGAGGCAGAGUUACCUUGUUUGAUUCAGAGUAGCAUUUGAGGCAAGAAGUUGAAGAGGUGAAGGUUCAACAACUUCAAAAGACUAGUCAAUUGGAGUUGAACUGAGCGUGUCAUAGAACUGGAGUUUCAGCUGAGUUUUUCCACUGCAUCUAGAAACAAGUUAUGCUAAUGCCAUGGACAUGGAGGAGUUUCUUAUUUGGUGGAUAUGUUGGCGCUGCUUGGUUGUCAGCCGUGGACUGUUAACUCAGUGACACCAAGAAUCCUUUAAGGCCGCAGCUGCUGCCCUAUGUGGUGACAUUUACAUAUUUGGUGGUGGAGAUGGUACUUCGUGGUUUAAUACAGGUUCAACUAGGAACAUGGUGGACAUAACUCUAUUAAUACAAAAAAUGGAAAUUCGGCUAGUCGUUCUUGAGUUCUCCAAGCCGAAAGUAAACCAUGAUGAUGUUCAGUGAGCUAGCAUGCGUCUUAUAUAACCCUAGCUCUUGCUUGUUUGCUGAGCAGACAACUGCUGCAGCCAUUUUAUCAUCAUCAUCCUCUAUGUAGUUGGAAUUAAUUUUCUAGUGCUGCGGCAGAGCUCUGGUGCAAUUUAUGCUGCUGGUGCAAUUUAUGUUUGCUGAGAAGACUACUUGAAGUAAGUAACCACUUUUUUGUACUAUCAAGAAUGUUUUUUACUUGGGUACUCGACAGGAUGAAUGUAAUAUACUAAUACCAGUUCA
Papaver somniferum (opium poppy) is the source of this 2073-nucleotide long non-coding RNA. RefSeq lists it as uncharacterized. NCBI's taxonomy places the organism in Eukaryota, Viridiplantae, Streptophyta, Magnoliopsida, Ranunculales, Papaveraceae. The record is from RefSeq and is a predicted model, not a curated record. The transcript has 6 exons.